UGCAAGUGUUUUUAGAUGUGUUGCUUUUCUUUGUUGCAAAAAAAAAAAAAAGACUGAUGUGACUUAAAAGUAUUCAUUCAUUACUGCUUUCCUUUUCUGAACUAUAAUAUUGUAUUUGCUGAUUUAGUUCAUGUUUUUUCACUGCCACAAUUAGGCAUAUACAUGUAGUCCAAUAAAAGGAAAUUUUCAGUGUCACGAAUAAAUGAAUACUGGCUCCAUCACUUGUAAAAUUAAGAUAAACUUCAAAACAUGGCACACAAAUUAAGUAAGACCAUGCAGGAAAAACACUUGGUGCUAGUAACAGUUCAAUAUAUGCCAGUUUCCCUCUUUUUUUCCCCAACUGCAUUAGUCUCUUUUUAUUCUUUAAGUAAUCUCUUCCAGAGUUAACUACUUCCGUUUGUAGGUGACGAAUGUGUAAGGAAUCCACUUCAAGUGCUGGCACUGCUAUGAGCAUGGUCUUUCCCUUUACCUCAACUCAAUCACUUUUGAUUCUUGUUUGUAUUUCCAAGCCCCGAAGUAGUUUUCACUGCAGAAGUUAUCUGAAGACAGUUUUGUGCUUUCUAGCAGUGGUCUAACACCGGGGUCUAGCUUCUCCAGGAACACUACACAGGAUGGAGUUAGAUAUGUAUUAAACUAAGAGGCAUUCUCUCAGAUGAAUUUAAAUGCAUUUUAUCUUCAGACAACCUACACAUGUUUUUUUCUCAAAAACAAUGCCUCCACUCCAAGCAAAUCACCAUCAAAAUAAAUGAAGCUCAAGAUGGCAUCAGUUCCAUUUGUCUUUUAAGUCCUGGUGUUGUGUGGAUGAAAGCAGCAGCCAGCCAGUUAUGACGACAGGUGAUAGAGCCGAAGUAACAGCCAAAUUUAGAUCGGAAGAGCCUCGUGUA
Non-coding RNA from Vicugna pacos (alpaca), 884 nucleotides. NCBI's taxonomy places the organism in Eukaryota, Metazoa, Chordata, Mammalia, Artiodactyla, Camelidae. The record is from RefSeq and is a predicted model, not a curated record.